AGAGCACAUGCAGGAGUUAGGGUCCAUCUCAAAAUCCCUCAGUGCACUGAAGGUGAGGGCUGGCUGCAGUGGGAGCCCAGGGUGUGCAACCACAAGGAGCUGCAGGUGCACCACUGGCCUGUCUCGCCCAUGCCACCCGGCCUGGGAGGUGGGGUGGGAGUGUCCACGCUAGGACCUGAAAGAUGGUGAACUAUGUCCAGAGGGUGAAGCUAAAGAGAACUCUGGUGGAGGUCCGUAGUGGUCCUGACAUGCAAAUCAAGCAUCCUAUCCCAUUCUAUGGGUGAAAGACUAAUCGAACCAUCUAGUAGUUGG
RNAcentral lists this non-coding RNA (312 nucleotides) under Chaetura pelagica (chimney swift). RNAcentral describes it as "Eukaryotic large subunit ribosomal RNA". It matches the Rfam family "Eukaryotic large subunit ribosomal RNA", at positions 677 to 954 of the family's 3401-position model. Lineage: Eukaryota; Metazoa; Chordata; Aves; Apodiformes; Apodidae. The record is from Rfam by way of RNAcentral.